AUGGGGAACCGUCAUGGCACAAUGAGGCCAAGGCGGCUGAAGAGUGCGAGAGCGACGGGGGAGGAGCUGGGGUCGUACGAGGCGGCGUGCAGCGCGGACCCGGAGCUGCGGAGCUUCGACGCGGCGCUGCGGCGGCGUGCGAGCCUCGCUGUAGCGGCGGCGGCGUCCGGGGUGGAGGUGCGGUCCAUGUCCCUGGGCUCCCUCCGGGAGGUCACCGGCUACCUGGUGGAGAUGAACCAGGAGGUGGUCUGCGUGGUGCUCGCCAGCAAGCACGACGUGUGGGGGUGUCCCGAGCUGUUCGCGCUCGUGGAGGACUACUUCGACGCCAGCCUCCACACCCUCGACUUCCUCGCCGCGCUCGACAAGGCGCUCCGCCGCGCCCGCGACUCGCAGCUCGUCCUGCACCUCGCGCUCCAAUGCCAGGACCCGGCCGCGGCCGGCGGUGAUCCGUUCACGGACGAGUUCUUCGCCGCGUUCCAGGCGGCGUACCGGCAGCAGCUGGGCAUGCUGGACAGGCUGCGGCGGCAGAAGCGCUGCCUGGACGGUUGCCUCCGGUCGCUCCGCGUCUGGCGCCGCGUGACGGGCGUCGUCUUCGCGACGACCUUCGCGGCGAUCCUCGUCUGCUCGGUGGUGGCCGCGGCCAUCGCCGCUCCGCCCGUCGCGGCCGCACUGGCGGCCGCAGCGUCGCUGCCCGUGGGCUCCGCCGGAAAGUGGGUGGACGCGAUGCUGAAGCGGUACGGGGACGUGCUCCGGGGGCACAAGGACGUGGUGGGCGCAAUGCAGAUCGGUACGUUCGUCGCCAUCGAGGACCUGGACAGCAUACGCUCGCUCGUCGGCCGGCUCGAGGUCCACAUCGGCUCCAUGGUGAACUGCGUGGAGCUGGCGGAGCGCGAGGAGGGGGCCGUCAGGAUGGUGAUUGAGGAGGUGAAGAAGAAACUGGAGGUGUUCAUGAAGAGCGUGGACGAUCUCGGGCAGCAGGCGGACAAGUGUAGCCGGGACAUCCGGCAAGCCAGGACCGUCGUGCUGCAGAGGAUCAUUCAUCACCAUUAA
Molecule: ribosomal RNA, 1050 nt
Filed under: Triticum aestivum (bread wheat)
Lineage: Eukaryota; Viridiplantae; Streptophyta; Magnoliopsida; Poales; Poaceae
Description: partial small subunit ribosomal RNA
Source: RNAcentral